GGAGCAACGAGGCUGGUGAAGAGAGCACAGAGGAAUAGGCCAGUCCAUAGAAGGCCUUCUAAGAGAGAGGGUGUCCGGUCUGACAGCCAGCAGUGUGAAGACUUGGAAUUUGGCUACAAUCACUGAGUCCAAAGCAUCUGGAAAACAGGUCUUUGACCAUGCUCUUCACUUCUUCAAUGAUUACGGAUAUAUUCAGGCUCCUAAUUUAUAUUGCUCCUAAUUUUUUGCCCAGAAUUUGUCUGCUUAUCCAGUUUUCAUAUUGUUGAUCUGUAAGGAUGCUUGAAAAGCUCGCCGCUCAUGGAUCUGACUCUGUCCCCGUGAGGUACACAGGGAUUUCUGCCCUGCUGACUCUGUUUAAUUCGGGCAGACUUCCCCUGGCUUUCACACACGGGUGGUCUUGUGAAGUCUCCUGUGAGCUCAGGAAAGACACUCCAGAGCCUGUCGACGGACAUUCUCAUGAAUAUAAAUACUGCAUGGGGUGCCUUCGUUUGCUGUGGGAGCUCAGUUUUUGUGAGAUGAGCAGCAAUCUUCAGCACACCCUCCAUGGUCCCCAUUUUCCUCCCAGGUAACUCAGCUGCUCUGCAUCCCACAGCUCUGCUUGGGAACAUGUUUUUGCCAUCUUUUUUUUUUUUUUCAACUAAAAUGACUAAUUUUUGUCCCUUACAACAGAUUUGCUUUGAAUUUCAUCUUCUUCCUUCUGAUAUUGAAUUUAUUGGACUCUAUUUUGUUACUGUCCUGCACUUCCCCUCCCCCGAUUUCUUUGGUUUCAUCUCUCUGGAAUGCAGACUGCUAGAUUUCUUUCUGUUUUGCACUUUUUGAAGUU
Molecule: long non-coding RNA, 823 nt
Organism: Meriones unguiculatus (Mongolian gerbil)
Lineage: Eukaryota; Metazoa; Chordata; Mammalia; Rodentia; Muridae
Exons: 3
Source: RefSeq, a predicted model, not a curated record